UUCUGAAGAGGAUGAUGAAUUGUGCAAAAUGCCAUCGAAGAAUGAAACUUUUAAAAUGCGAUCGCAACGAUGGGCUGCGUUGGGUAUGUAAGCAUCACAAAAGCAACCCAUUGUCAGUGCGUAAUGGGUCCAUAUUCACAAAGUCUCACACCCCUUUGGCAAAAUGGCUUGAGUUCAUGUUAAGGUUUUCACAAGGUUUGCAACUGAAACAACUAACCAUGAUCUCAGAGGGAAUAGCAGCAAGUUCCAAGACACUCACAAGAAUGACAACAAUUCUAAGAAAGGUUUUUGCAU
Molecule: long non-coding RNA, 294 nt
Organism: Cyprinodon tularosa
Lineage: Eukaryota; Metazoa; Chordata; Actinopteri; Cyprinodontiformes; Cyprinodontidae
Exons: 3
Source: RefSeq, a predicted model, not a curated record